UGAAUGGCGGUGGUGGAGCUCCAAAGGCAGGCAUUCAGGGCGGUGGUGGAGGGAGAAUGCCAGGCAUGAGUGCCGGUGGUGGAGCUACAAUGCCAGGCAUGCAGGGCGGUGCUGGAGGGAGAAUGCCAGGCAUGAAUGG
This is a non-coding RNA of Notechis scutatus (mainland tiger snake), 139 nucleotides long. The record is from RefSeq and is a predicted model, not a curated record. NCBI's taxonomy places the organism in Eukaryota, Metazoa, Chordata, Lepidosauria, Squamata, Elapidae.